ACAUUUAAUACAAUAAUUGCAAUUUUUUUAAAGGUGUUUAAUCCUACAAUUAUUUUUAAUACAUCUAGUAGAAAAUAUAAUUAGUCUAAUUUAUAGUACCUACGACAAUCAAUCGAAUUAGUUUGAUGUUAAAAGAAAUAAAAAAUAUUGAACUAUAAACUUUUGGCUCAUUAUUUUCAUAAACUUUAUUUUUUAUUUUAUAUUAAGUAAGCGAAAGAUAAUUUAAUAAUCAAAAUUUAUUUGCUCAUAAAUUAACAGACCUGCAGGUUACUCAUUUAAAGAAAAUAUACAAUAAACAUUAAAGGAUAACUAAUCAGAAAUAAUGGUUUGCAAAAAAAGCCACAUAUUUUUCUUAACUUGUCAAUCAUGAAAUAUUUUUUAUUUUCAUGCCUGAUGUUUCAUAAGGAAAGCAAUAUUGGGAAUAUGCAUUAUUAAUUAGCUUAUUCAUUAAAUAAUAAUAUAUUGGCUGAAAACAAUUUUAGGAUAGUAUUUCGGAAGUUAUUAAUGAUGUAGCAAUAUAGUAAGAGGUGAAGUGCUGAUGUUUUUAUAAAUGUAUUUUUCUAGUUAACCAUUCUGCUCCUAUCUAGGUCAUUAUAUACAACACCUAAAUACAUUCAAAUCAGAGCUCUCCCAAUUACUGAGAAGAAUAUGUGCAACGUGAACAAUUCUGUAUUUUGAAGUGGACCUUGAUCACACAAUGUAAUACAAUUAUCAUUAAAUUGAUGUUCAGAUAAAAAUUAUGACAUGUAAUGUAUCUAAAGAUAAUGCGUCAGAGCACAUUUAAGAGAAAUACACAGAGCUCAUUUAAAAUA
Daktulosphaira vitifoliae (grape phylloxera) is the source of this 812-nucleotide long non-coding RNA. RefSeq lists it as uncharacterized. NCBI's taxonomy places the organism in Eukaryota, Metazoa, Arthropoda, Insecta, Hemiptera, Phylloxeridae. The transcript has 4 exons. The record is from RefSeq and is a predicted model, not a curated record.